GCCCGAGCGGAGCCGGCCGCGAUGAGCGGGGAGCCGGGGCAGACGUCUGUAGCGCCCCCUCCCGAGGAGGUCGAGCCGGGCAGUGGGGUCCGCAUCGUGGUGGAGUACUGGUGAGCGGCCCCGGCUGGAGGACCCCCACCCUGGUCCCGCGGGCCGGACGGAGGUGGGUCCACGGGAGGCCCCACCCCCGAAUCCCCAGCCCAGCCCCAUCUCUUGACUCCCCAGUGAACCCUGCGGCUUCGAGGCGACCUACCUGGAGCUGGCCAGUGCUGUGAAGGAGCAGUAUCCGGGCAUCGAGAUCGAGUCGCGCCUGGGGGGCACAGGUGCCUUUGAGAUAGAGAUAAAUGGACAGCUGGUGUUCUCCAAGCUGGAGAAUGGGGGCUUUCCCUAUGAGAAAGAUGUGAGUAUUUACAGCGUUGGGAGGACCUCUUGGUCACCCUACCCCAACAGUGCAUCAUCCUGUCAUUCCACAUCUCUGUCCUCUAGCUCAUUGAGGCCAUCCGAAGAGCCAGUAAUGGAGAACCCCUAGAAAAGAUCACCAACAGCCGUCCUCCCUGCGUCAUCCUUUGACUGCACAGGACUCUGGGUUCCUGCUCUGUUCUGGGGUCCAAACCUUGGUCUCCCUUUGGUCCUGCUGGGAGCUCCCCCUGCCUCUUUCCCCUACUUAGCUCCUUAGCAAAGAGACCCUGGCCUCCACUUUGCCCCUUUGGGUACAAAGAAGGAAUAGAAGAUUCCGUGGCCUUGGGGGCAGGAGAGAGACACUCUCCAUGGACACUUCUCCAGCCACCUCAUACCCCCUUCCCAGGGUAAGUGCCCACGAAAGCCCAGUCCACUCUUCACCUCGGUAAUACCUGUCUGAUGCCACAGAUUUUAUUUAUUCUCCCCUAACCCAGGGCAAUGUCAGCUAUUGGCAGUAAAGUGACGCUACAAACA
This 933-nucleotide small RNA is filed under the name Pan troglodytes (chimpanzee). RNAcentral describes it as "retained intron". Lineage: Eukaryota; Metazoa; Chordata; Mammalia; Primates; Hominidae. The record is from RNAcentral.